This 826-nucleotide ribosomal RNA is filed under the name uncultured bacterium. Its description in RNAcentral is "bacterial SSU rRNA". It matches the Rfam family "Bacterial small subunit ribosomal RNA", at positions 50 to 878 of the family's 1533-position model. The record is from RNAcentral.
UACACAUGCAGUCGACGAGAAGUUCCUUCGGGAGCGAGUACAGUGGCGGACGGGUGAGUAACGCAUGGGAAUCUGCCCAGUAGUGGGGAAUAACCCGGGGAAACUCGGGCUAAUACCGCAUACGUCCUACGGGAGAAAGCGGGGGAUCUUCGGACCUCGCGCUACUGGAUGAGCCCAUGUCAGAUUAGCUUGUUGGUGGGGUAAUGGCCUACCAAGGCAACGAUCUGUAGCUGGUCUGAGAGGACGAUCAGCCACACUGGGACUGAGACACGGCCCAGACUCCUACGGGAGGCAGCAGUGGGGAAUAUUGGACAAUGGGCGAAAGCCUGAUCCAGCAAUGCCGCGUGUGUGAAGAAGGCCUGCGGGUUGUAAAGCACUUUCAUCAGGGACGAAAAACCCGGGGCGAAUACCCCCGGGCCUUGACUUAACCUGAACAAGAAGCACCGGCUAACUCCGUGCCAGCAGCCGCGGUAAUACGGAGGGUGCGAGCGUUAAUCGGAAUUACUGGGCGUAAAGCGCACGUAGGAGGCGAGAUCAGUCAGAUGUGAAAUCCCCGGGCUCAACCUGGGAAUUGCAUUUGAUACUGUCUUGCUAGAGUCUGGCAGAGGUAAGCGGAAUUCCGGGUGUAGCGGUGGAAUGCGUAGAUAUCCGGAAGAACACCAGUGGCGAAGCGGCUUACUGGGCCAAGACUGACUCUGAGGUGCGAAAGCGUGGGGAGCGAACAGGAUUAGAUACCCUGGUAGUCCACGCCGUAAACGACGUCAACUAGCCGUUGGACGUUGAGGGUCAAGUGGUGCAGCUAACGCGAUAAGUUGACCGCCUGGGG